This 253-nucleotide ribosomal RNA is filed under the name uncultured bacterium. RNAcentral describes it as "partial 16S ribosomal RNA". It matches the Rfam family "Bacterial small subunit ribosomal RNA", at positions 524 to 776 of the family's 1533-position model. The record is from RNAcentral.
UACGGAGGGGGCUAGCGUUGUUCGGAAUUACUGGGCGUAAAGCGCGCGUAGGCGGACCUGCAAGUCGGGGGUGAAAGCCCGAGGCUCAACCUCGGAACUGCCUUCGAUACUGCGGGUCUCGAGUCCGGGAGAGGUAAGUGGAAUUCCUAGUGUAGAGGUGAAAUUCGUAGAUAUUAGGAAGAACACCAGUGGCGAAGGCGGCUCACUGGCCCGGUACUGACGCUGAGGCGCGAAAGCGUGGGGAGCAAACAGG